GGUUAAGCGACUAAGCGUACACGGUGGAUGCCCUGGCAGUCAGAGGCGAUGAAGGACGUGCUAAUCUGCGAUAAGCGUCGGUAAGGUGAUAUGAACCGUUAUAACCGGCGAUUUCCGAAUGGGGAAACCCAGUGUGAUUCGUCACACUAUCAUUAACUGAAUCCAUAGGUUAAUGAGGCGAACCGGGGGAACUGAAACAUCUAAGUACCCCGAGGAAAAGAAAUCAACCGAGAUUCCCCCAGUAGCGGCGAGCGAACGGGGAGCAGCCCAGAGCCUGAAUCAGUGUGUGUGUUAGUGGAAGCGUCUGGAAAGGCGUGCGAUACAGGGUGACAGCCCCGUACACAAAAAUGCACAUGCUGUGAGCUCGAUGAGUAGGGCGGGACACGUGGUAUCCUGUCUGAAUAUGGGGGGACCAUCCUCCAAGGCUAAAUACUCCUGACUGACCGAUAGUGAACCAGUACCGUGAGGGAAAGGCGAAAAGAACCCCGGCGAGGGGAGUGAAAAAGAACCUGAAACCGUGUACGUACAAGCAGUGGGAGCACAGAGCAAUCUGUGUGACUGCGUACCUUUUGUAUAAUGGGUCAGCGACUUAUAUUCUGUAGCAAGGUUAACCGAAUAGGGGAGCCGAAGGGAAACCGAGUCUUAACUGGGCGUUAAGUUGCAGGGUAUAGACCCGAAACCCGGUGAUCUAGCCAUGGGCAGGUUGAAGGUUGGGUAACACUAACUGGAGGACCGAACCGACUAAUGUUGAAAAAUUAGCGGAUGACUUGUGGCUGGGGGUGAAAGGCCAAUCAAACCGGGAGAUAGCUGGUUCUCCCCGAAAGCUAUUUAGGUAGCGCCUCGUGAAUUCAUCUCCGGGGGUAGAGCACUGUUUCGGCAAGGGGGUCAUCCCGACUUACCAACCCGAUGCAAACUGCGAAUACCGGAGAAUGUUAUCACGGGAGACACACGGCGGGUGCUAACGUCCGUCGUGAAGAGGGAAACAACCCAGACCGCCAGCUAAGGUCCCAAAGUCAUGGUUAAGUGGGAAACGAUGUGGGAAGGCCCAGACAGCCAGGAUGUUGGCUUAGAAGCAGCCAUCAUUUAAAGAAAGCGUAAUAGCUCACUGGUCGAGUCGGCCUGCGCGGAAGAUGUAACGGGGCUAAACCAUGCACCGAAGCUGCGGCAGCGACGCUGAUGCGUUGUUGGGUAGGGGAGCGUUCUGUAAGCCUGUGAAGGUGUACUGUGAGGUAUGCUGGAGGUAUCAGAAGUGCGAAUGCUGACAUAAGUAACGAUAAAGCGGGUGAAAAGCCCGCUCGCCGGAAGACCAAGGGUUCCUGUCCAACGUUAAUCGGGGCAGGGUGAGUCGACCCCUAAGGCGAGGCCGAAAGGCGUAGUCGAUGGGAAACAGGUUAAUAUUCCUGUACUUGGUGUUACUGCGAAGGGGGGACGGAGAAGGCUAUGUUGGCCGGGCGACGGUUGUCCCGGUUUAAGCGUGUAGGCUGGUUUUCCAGGCAAAUCCGGAAAAUCAAGGCUGAGGCGUGAUGACGAGGCACUACGGUGCUGAAGCAACAAAUGCCCUGCUUCCAGGAAAAGCCUCUAAGCAUCAGGUAACAUCAAAUCGUACCCCAAACCGACACAGGUGGUCAGGUAGAGAAUACCAAGGCGCUUGAGAGAACUCGGGUGAAGGAACUAGGCAAAAUGGUGCCGUAACUUCGGGAGAAGGCACGCUGAUAUGUAGGUGAAGUCCCUCGCGGAUGGAGCUGAAAUCAGUCGAAGAUACCAGCUGGCUGCAACUGUUUAUUAAAAACACAGCACUGUGCAAACACGAAAGUGGACGUAUACGGUGUGACGCCUGCCCGGUGCCGGAAGGUUAAUUGAUGGGGUCAGCGCAAGCGAAGCUCUUGAUCGAAGCCCCGGUAAACGGCGGCCGUAACUAUAACGGUCCUAAGGUAGCGAAAUUCCUUGUCGGGUAAGUUCCGACCUGCACGAAUGGCGUAAUGAUGGCCAGGCUGUCUCCACCCGAGACUCAGUGAAAUUGAACUCGCUGUGAAGAUGCAGUGUACCCGCGGCAAGACGGAAAGACCCCGUGAACCUUUACUAUAGCUUGACACUGAACAUUGAGCCUUGAUGUGUAGGAUAGGUGGGAGGCUUGGAAGUGUGGACGCCAGUCUGCAUGGAGCCGACCUUGAAAUACCACCCUUUAAUGUUUGAUGUUCUAACGUUGACCCGUAAUCCGGGUUGCGGACAGUGUCUGGUGGGUAGUUUGACUGGGGCGGUCUCCUCCUAAAGAGUAACGGAGGAGCACGAAGGUUGGCUAAUCCUGGUCGGACAUCAGGAGGUUAGUGCAAUGGCAUAAGCCAGCUUGACUGCGAGCGUGACGGCGCGAGCAGGUGCGAAAGCAGGUCAUAGUGAUCCGGUGGUUCUGAAUGGAAGGGCCAUCGCUCAACGGAUAAAAGGUACUCCGGGGAUAACAGGCUGAUACCGCCCAAGAGUUCAUAUCGACGGCGGUGUUUGGCACCUCGAUGUCGGCUCAUCACAUCCUGGGGCUGAAGUAGGUCCCAAGGGUAUGGCUGUUCGCCAUUUAAAGUGGUACGCGAGCUGGGUUUAGAACGUCGUGAGACAGUUCGGUCCCUAUCUGCCGUGGGCGCUGGAGAACUGAGGGGGGCUGCUCCUAGUACGAGAGGACCGGAGUGGACGCAUCACUGGUGUUCGGGUUGUCAUGCCAAUGGCACUGCCCGGUAGCUAAAUGCGGAAGAGAUAAGUGCUGAAAGCAUCUAAGCACGAAACUUGCCCCGAGAUGAGUUCUCCCUGACUCCUUGAGAGUCCUGAAGGAACGUUGAAGACGACGACGUUGAUAGGCCGGGUGUGUAAGCGCAGCGAUGCGUUGAGCUAACCGGUACUAAUGAACCGUGAGGCUUAACCUU
Molecule: ribosomal RNA, 2906 nt
Filed under: Escherichia coli
Lineage: Bacteria; Pseudomonadati; Pseudomonadota; Gammaproteobacteria; Enterobacterales; Enterobacteriaceae
Also listed under: 1 other name
Description: 23S ribosomal RNA
Rfam family: Bacterial large subunit ribosomal RNA
Source: RNAcentral